AAGACAUGCAAGUCGAACGGGAUGGCCCAAUGAAGUUUGAGUGCUUGCACAAGAAUGAAUUUGGAUCGCCAUCUAGUGGCGCACGGGUGAGUAACACGUGGGUAACCUGCCUUUAAGUUUGGGACAACAGUUGGAAACGACUGCUAAUACCGGAUAACAUAUGAAAUUGAUUAUUUCAUAUUGAAAGGUGCCUUUAAAGCAUCGCUUAAAGAUGGGCCUGCGGCGUAUUAGCUAGUUGGUGAGGUAAUGGCUCACCAAGGCGACGAUGCGUAGCCGAACUGAGAGGUUGAUCGGCCACACUGGGACUGAGACACGGCCCAGACUCCUACGGGAGACAGCAGUUAGGAAUAUUCGUCAAUGGGGGAAACCCUGAACGAGCAAUGCCGCGUGAAUGAUGACGGCCCUCUGGGUUGUAAAAUUCUGUUGUUUGGAAAGAACUGUAAGAUUAGGAAAUGAAUCUUACUUGACGGUACCAAGCGAGAAAGCUCCGGCUAACUACGUGCC
Molecule: ribosomal RNA, 504 nt
Filed under: uncultured organism
Description: SSU rRNA
Rfam family: Bacterial small subunit ribosomal RNA
Source: RNAcentral